This 484-nucleotide ribosomal RNA is filed under the name uncultured bacterium. RNAcentral describes it as "partial 16S ribosomal RNA". It matches the Rfam family "Bacterial small subunit ribosomal RNA", at positions 30 to 507 of the family's 1533-position model. The record is from RNAcentral.
AUUGAACGCUGGCGGCAUGCUUUACACAUGCAAGUCGAACGGCAGCACGGGCUUCGGCCUGGUGGCGAGUGGCGAACGGGUGAGUAAUAUAUCGGAACGUACCCAGAAGUGGGGGAUAACGUAGCGGAAGUUACGCUAAUACCGCAUACGAUCUAUGGAUGAAAGCAGGGGACCGCAAGGCCUUGUGCUCCUGGAGCGGCCGAUAUCUGAUUAGCUAGUUGGUGAGGUAAAGGCUCACCAAGGCGACGAUCAGUAGCUGGUCUGAGAGGACGACCAGCCACACUGGAACUGAGACACGGUCCAGACUCCUACGGGAGGCAGCAGUGGGGAAUUUUGGACAAUGGGCGCAAGCCUGAUCCAGCAAUGCCGCGUGAGUGAAGAAGGCCUUCGGGUUGUAAAGCUCUUUUGUCAGGGAAGAAACGGUAGAGGCUAAUAUCCUUUGCUAAUGACGGUACCUGAAGAAUAAGCACCGGCUAACUACGUG